UACGUAGGAGGCAAGCGUUGUCCGGACUGACUGGGCGUAAAGCGCGCGCAGGCGGUGCGGGGCGUCGGUGCUGAAAUCGGGCCGCUUAACGGCCCGCGGCGUGCCGAUACGCCCGUACUGGAGGGUGGGCGAGGGUGGUGGAAUUGCCGGUGUAGUGGUGAAAUGCGUAGAGAUCGGCAGGAACACCCGUGGCGAAAGCGGCCACCUAGCCCAUACCUGACGCUGAUGCGCGACAGCGUGGGGAGCGAACAGG
Molecule: ribosomal RNA, 253 nt
Filed under: uncultured bacterium
Lineage: Bacteria
Description: partial 16S ribosomal RNA
Rfam family: Bacterial small subunit ribosomal RNA
Source: RNAcentral